Molecule: ribosomal RNA, 235 nt
Filed under: uncultured Glomus
Lineage: Eukaryota; Fungi; Glomeromycota; Glomeromycetes; Glomerales; Glomeraceae
Description: partial 18S ribosomal RNA
Rfam family: Eukaryotic small subunit ribosomal RNA
Source: RNAcentral
UUGGAGGGCAAGUCUGGUGCCCGCAGCCGCGGUAAUUCCAGCUCCAAUAGCGUAUAUUAAAGUUGUUGCAGUUAAAAAGCUCGUAGUUGAAUUUCGAGAUCAGUACGCUGGUCGUGCCUUCGGUAUGCACUGGUGUCACUGGUUUCUCCCUUCUGAAGAACCGUCAUGUCAUUAAGUUGGUGUGGCGGGGAAUCAGGACUGUUACUUUGAAAAAAUUAGAGUGUUUAAAGCAGGC